GACGAACGCUGGCGGCGUGCUUAACACAUGCAAGUCGAACGAAGUGGCGAACGGGUGAGUAACGCGUACUCAACCUGCCCUUCAGAGGGGGACAACAGUUGGAAACGACUGCUGAUACCGCAUACGGAAGGCGGGGCUUGCGUCUGAUUAGCUAGGUGGAGGGGUAACGGCCCACCAAGGCGCUGAUCAGUAGCCAGACUGGGAGGAUGAGCGGCCACAUUGGGCCUGAGACACGGCCCAGACUCCUACGGAAGGCAGCAGUGGGGAAGCUUCCGCAAGGGACGAAAGUCUGACGGAGCAACGCAGCGUGAGUGAUGACGGCCUUCGGGUUGUAAAGCUCUGUUAAUCGGGACGCGGUACCGGAAUAGAAAGCCACGGCUAACUACGUGCCAGCAGCCGCGGUAAUAC
RNAcentral lists this ribosomal RNA (408 nucleotides) under uncultured bacterium. RNAcentral's name for it is "partial 16S ribosomal RNA". It matches the Rfam family "Bacterial small subunit ribosomal RNA", at positions 28 to 526 of the family's 1533-position model. The record is from RNAcentral.